CGACCACCAAACUCGACCGAGCCUCUUCUUCCCCGCGGUCUCUCCAUCAUCCUCUAGCGGAAAACCCUAAAUCCACCGCCAUGGGAGACGUCGAAGCGAGCUCGGCGAACCCGAAGAGAGCACAGGGGCGUCUCUGCUCCAUCUGUGGAGAGAAGAGACCCGCUCUGAAGCGGCCCAAAACCCUAGAAGAGAUUUGUAGGGAAUGCUUUUACAAUGUGUUUGAAGAUGAGAUUCACAAAGUUAUCGUGGAGAAUAAUUUAUUUAAGUGCGGUGAACGAGUUGCAAUUGGAGCUUCUGGAGGGAAAGAUUCCACUGUUCUUGCAUAUGUUCUAUCGGAAUUGAAUCGCCGCCAUAGUUAUGGCCUCGAUCUAUUUCUUUUAUCUGUCGAUGAAGGCAUAACUGGUUACAGGGACGACUCUCUCGAAACUGUCAAAAGAAAUGAAAUACAGUAUGGAUUGCCACUGAAAAUAGUUUCAUACAAGGAUUUAUAUGGUUGGACAAUGGAUGAAAUAGUGAAGGCAAUAGGCUUGAAAAACAAUUGUACUUUUUGCGGUGUUUUCCGACGUCAGGCCCUAGAUCGAGGUGCUGCAUUAUUGAAAGCUGACAAGCUUGUUACUGGCCAUAAUGCUGACGAUAUUGCAGAGACAGUUCUAUUGAAUAUUCUGCGAGGUGACAUUGCAAGGUUGAGUAGGUGUACAUAUAUAACUACUGGUGAAGAUGGACCAAUUCCGAGAUGCAAGCCUUUCAAAUACACCUAUGAGAAAGAGAUUGUCAUGUAUGCAUAUUUCAAAAAGCUGGACUACUUCUCUACAGAAUGCAUUUACUCUCCCAAUGCAUAUCGUGGUUUUGCUCGUGAAUUUAUUAAAGAUUUGGAAAGAAUAAGGCCUAGAGCUAUUCUAGAUAUCAUUAGAUCUGGAGAAAAUUUCAGAAUAUCAACAUUUACAAGGAUGCCUGAACAAGGGACAUGUAAACGUUGUGGUUAUAUCUCUAGCCAGAAAUUGUGUAAAGCGUGUCUUCUACUGGAGGGAUUGAAUCGAGGUCUACCGAAACUAGGCAUCGGAAGAACUAAGGGCCACAAUGGCGUAAACAAAGAUGACGAGCAACAAAAAAUCUCGCACUCAAGAGAGAAGGGAUCGAGUUUACAGAGCAAACAAUGUGGAACUCUUGACUUUUAAUGAGCCUGCUUACCCGAUUUAGAAAAUAUGUCAUUCGCAAAUUCCAAACCCAACUAUUUUGACGUCUUAAGCACUCCACUAUGCUUUAACCAUCGUGCCAUGUGUAGGUAGCUUCAGCUCCCCCUUCGUCGGCAGCGGAAUCGUGAAGUUGCCGACGACGGGGAGGUCGAUGGUGAGCCCCACCUCGAGCUCGUAGCGAUAUCCGGAAGUCGUACGGCACAUUCACCGGGAACUCCAGCUUCAUCGCCGGGGGGGGAUUGGUCGUCGAGGGGUAGCCUAGGAUCCUAAACGGUUGGGCCCAUUCAAGGUUUUUUUGUUUUUUGGUUUUUCAUUUUUAAUUUGACCAAUUCACAUUUAUCGUUUAAAGUUUAAAAGUCCGAAGUUAUUGUAAUUUAUUAUCUAGUUAUAUAAAUCGUUACAUACGCUUCGUCGAGAUUAUAGACUAUGUGAACUUCAGCUAGAUUGUAACUCACCGGACCAAGCGCAUUAACUCAUGUUUGAGGCACGAAUAGAACUCGACACCUAUUCCUCUUCCGGGAAGGGUGCUUAACUGCUUAUGGAUAAAAGAAAACAUUGUAGCCUCGUGCAGUAGGCAUUUUGGUACUCUAGGUCCUGAUACAAUGUUUGCAUAUUUGGAGCUCUGGACCGGAAAAAAGUAUAGAAUGCAUUAGUUAUAAUGCUGAUGCGGUGUUUUCAAC
Molecule: RNA transcript, 1873 nt
Organism: Ananas comosus (pineapple)
Lineage: Eukaryota; Viridiplantae; Streptophyta; Magnoliopsida; Poales; Bromeliaceae
Gene name: cytoplasmic tRNA 2-thiolation protein 1-like
Exons: 12
Source: RefSeq, a predicted model, not a curated record